CCUGGGCAACAUAGUGAGGCCCCAUCUCUAAAAAGUAAAUAAGCAAAUUAAAAAGAAUUAUAAAACUGCUCUUAAAGGAUAGUGCAGAGGGUGGUAGUGGGGGAGACCUAUUUAGAUAGGUCAAUAAGGAUGACCUCUCCAGAAACCAUAUGUAAUGAAUGAGCAGGAGUCAGCUGUGCUAAGUGCUUGGGGAGAGUUAGGGAUGGGGGUUCCUCUAGGGUCCAGGCAGUGGAAACAGUAUGUAUAAGGUUUAUGAGAACAACAUCCAAUAAACAUUAGAGUGAUUUUAACCAAGAAUAUUUUCAUUCUUUGUGCAGGGCACUGAGUUAAAAUCUGUCUUAUAAACAGGACAAAUGCCUCCUUCACUGAAAAUUGAGGCUUAAUUGAUCAAUCUUGGAAAAAAACCCUUGGAUAAAAGGAAGAAGAGAGUGCACCUGAUGUAGUAGCCACUGUAAGAACUGUAUUGGAGAAUGAUCUGAUUGGCCCGUGCAAGAGGGAUUGGAGAGAAGAAGAAACCGCAAGCAGAAAAACCAGAUGAGGAAAUUAAGCUAAAUAUUAACUAUCUCAAGAAUAUUCCCAGAAGUGACUGCUAAAUUUAAGUCCCUGCUUACAAUGAAAUACUGUAUAGCAGGGGUUCUCAAACGUUUUGGUCUUAGAACCCUUACAGCCUUAAAAAUUAUUGAGAACUCCAAAGAACUUUCAAUUAUGUGGGUCAUAACUACUGAUAUUUACUGUAUUAUAACUUGAAACUGAAAAAAUGUUAAAAUAUUUAUAAACAUUGAAAAAUAAUAAACCCAUUGUAAGCUAAUAUAAAUCGCAUGUUUUUGUUAAACAUCACUUUAUUUUCCAAAGCAAAAAAUUUAGUGAGAAGAGAGGCCUUCUUUUACAUUUUAAUAUCUGGCUUAUGAGAAAAUAGCUGAGUUUCUCAUUUCUGCUUUUCCAUUUAAUCUGUUGGUGUAUGUUUUAUUUAAAGUACAGUUAACCCUUGAAGAACAUGGGUCUGAACUGUGCAGGUCCACUUAUACGUGGAUUCUUUUCCAAUAAAAGUUGCAGAUGUGCCUGUC
This is a non-coding RNA of Macaca mulatta (Rhesus monkey), 1064 nucleotides long. The record is from RefSeq and is a predicted model, not a curated record. Lineage: Eukaryota; Metazoa; Chordata; Mammalia; Primates; Cercopithecidae.